RNAcentral lists this ribosomal RNA (888 nucleotides) under Triticum aestivum (bread wheat). RNAcentral's name for it is "partial small subunit ribosomal RNA". The record is from RNAcentral. Lineage: Eukaryota; Viridiplantae; Streptophyta; Magnoliopsida; Poales; Poaceae.
AUGUAUGAACACCAAGAAUACGUCUCGGUAUUUCUUGAGCUACUGACGUUGGAGGCCGACGUAAGGGCGGGCUUCGACAUGAGUCUGGUCGUCCCGUCGGACCCGGCCACCACCAAGUUGAUCCAUCGGGUGGCUCCGAUGUUUUUCGGCCACAUACAACCCGACUGGGGGCUUCCCAAGUUCAUGAAGAGGGCAGUCUUGGAAUCAUCACCGUACCUGGAGGAUGACCGCCUCGUGAUCAAGUGCGAGGUCACUGUCGUCAGGCAACCACAGGUGGAGGAGACCUCGCCGGACUUCGAGGUCCAGGUGCCGCCGUCUGAUCUGUACGACAAUCUUGGGAAACUCUUAGAAUCAGGGGAGGAAGCAGAUGUAAUUUUCAAGGUUAAAAGGGAGUCUUUUUCUGCCCACAAGAUUGUGCUUGCAAUGCGGUCGCCGGUGUUCAAGGUGGAGCUUUAUGGGCCGAUGAGCGACAAAAGAACAGGGAGGAUAACCGUCAAGGAUAUGCAGCCUGCUGUAUUCAAGGCGUUGCUUCAGUUUAUCUACACUGAUUCGUUGCCUUCCAUGCUUGACCUCUGCGACAAUGACCAGAAAGAAAUGGUCAAGCAUUUGCUUGUGGCUGCAGAUAAGUAUGCCAUGGAAAGACUGAAGCUAAUCUGCGAAGGCAUUCUUUGCAGGAGUCUCGACGUUGAUUCUGUGGCGACGACAUUAGCUCUGGCUGACCAGCAUCAUUGCGGCAAUCUCAAAAAUGCUUGUGUCCAAUUUAUCCUCACGGCGAAUAGAAUGGAUGCUGUGCUGGCAAGCAAAGGCUACACACACCUUAAACGAUCUUGUCCUUCUGUCAUAGUUGAUAUCUUUGAGAGGGCAACUAAGUCUCGCAAGAUUCUGUAA